This 484-nucleotide ribosomal RNA is filed under the name uncultured bacterium. RNAcentral's name for it is "partial 16S ribosomal RNA". It matches the Rfam family "Bacterial small subunit ribosomal RNA", at positions 30 to 507 of the family's 1533-position model. The record is from RNAcentral.
AUUGAACGCUGGCGGCAGGCCUAACACAUGCAAGUCGAGCGGAUGAAGGGAGCUUGCUCCUGGAUUCAGCGGCGGACGGGUGAGUAAUGCCUAGGAAUCUGCCUGGUAGUGGGGGAUAACGUCCGGAAACGGGCGCUAAUACCGCAUACGUCCUGAGGGAGAAAGUGGGGGAUCUUCGGACCUCCCGCUAUCAGAUGAGCCUAUGUCGGAUUAGCUAGUUGGUGGGGUAAAGGCCUACCAAGGCGACGAGCCGUCGCUGGGCUGAGAGGAUGAUCAGUCACACUGGAACUUGGAGACGGUCCCGACUCCUACGGGAGGCAGAAGUGGGGAAUAUUGAACAAUGGGCGCAAGCCUGAUCCAGCAAUACCGCGUGGGUGAAGAAGGCAUUCGGGUUGUAAAGCCCUUUUGUUGGGAAAGAAAAGCAGCAGGUUAAUACCCCGCUGUUCUGACGGUACCCAAAGAAUAAGCACCGGCUAACUUCGUG